GACGAACGCUGGCGGCGUGCUUAACACAUGCAAGUCGAACGGUGAAGCGCCUUCCUUUUUGGUGGGUGUGGAUGAGUGGCGAACGGGUGAGUAACACGUGAGUAACCUGCCCCCUUCUUCUGGAUAACCGCAUGAAAGUGUGGCUAAUACGGGAUAUUCUGGGUCUGUCGCAUGAUGGGUCUGGGAAAGAUAUUGUUUCGGUGGGGGAUGGGCUCGCGGCCUAUCAGCUUGUUGGUGGGGUGAUGGCCUACCAAGGCGGUGACGGGUAGCCGGCCUGAGAGGGUGGACGGUCACACGGGGGCUGAGACACGGCCCAGACUCCUACGGGAGGCAGCAGUGGGGAAUAUUGCACAAUGGGCGCAAGCCUGAUGCAGCGACGCCGCGUGAGGGAUGGAGGCCUGCGGGUUGUGAACCUCUUUCGCCAGUGAAGCAGGCCUGCCUCGUUUGUGGGUGGGUUGACGGUAGCUGGAUAAGAAGCGCCGGCUAACUACGUG
RNAcentral lists this ribosomal RNA (494 nucleotides) under uncultured bacterium. RNAcentral's name for it is "partial 16S ribosomal RNA". It matches the Rfam family "Bacterial small subunit ribosomal RNA", at positions 28 to 507 of the family's 1533-position model. The record is from RNAcentral.